This 104-nucleotide transfer RNA is filed under the name Enterovibrio gelatinilyticus. RNAcentral describes it as "tRNA-OTHER". The record is from RNAcentral. Lineage: Bacteria; Pseudomonadati; Pseudomonadota; Gammaproteobacteria; Vibrionales; Vibrionaceae.
CGGUGAAUGUCGCAGCUUGGUAGCGCAUCUAUGCUUCUAAAUAGAAGAGGACCAGAGGGUCGGGUACGGGAUGCCGCCCAGUUCGAAUCCCUCUUCACCGACCA